RNAcentral lists this ribosomal RNA (532 nucleotides) under Duttaphrynus melanostictus (Asian common toad). RNAcentral's name for it is "partial large subunit ribosomal RNA". It matches the Rfam family "Bacterial large subunit ribosomal RNA", at positions 1916 to 2602 of the family's 2925-position model. Lineage: Eukaryota; Metazoa; Chordata; Amphibia; Anura; Bufonidae. The record is from RNAcentral.
GACUCUGUUCAACGGCCGCGGUAUCCUAACCGUGCGAAGGUAGCGUAAUCACUUGUUCUUUAAAUGUGGACUAGUAUGAAUGGCAUCACGAAGGUUAUACUGUCUCCUUUUUCUAAUCAGUGAAACUAAUCUCCCCGUGAAGAAGCGAGGAUAAAACUAUAAGACGAGAAGACCCUAUGGAGCUUUAAACAUUUAUAACACUUGCUAAAUAAAAUACAAAUUUCAGAAUUAUUUAAUCUUUAAGCAACUUGUCUAUAAGUUUUUGGUUGGGGUGACCGCGGAGCAUAAUACAACCUCCAUGUUGAAAGAUCUAUUUCUAAGCUAAGAGCUACACCUCUAAGCAUCAACAUAUUGACAUCCAUUGACCCAAUAUAUUUGAACAACGAACCAAGUUACCCUAGGGAUAACAGCGCAAUCCACUUCAAGAGCUCCUAUCGACAAGUGGGUUUACGACCUCGAUGUUGGAUCAGGGUUUCCCAGUGGUGCAGCCGCUACUAAAGGUUCGUUUGUUCAACGAUUAAAACCCUACGUG